AUUAUUAAUGAGGAUGGCCUGUGCAAAAAGACACCCAGAGAUUUCAUGCUGUUGAUUCACAGAAAGCCUGUUACUGUUCACUCCGUAGAGUCCUCAGAGUCUGGAUCAUCCCUUACAGAAGAUCCUUGAUAAUAUUUCUGAUACACCUCCAAGGUUCCAUUUGUCAAAUGUGUGUGACCCUUCCGAUAAGUCACCAGAGGUGAUGAGGGAGAGAGAGAAAGAAAGCAAAUUACAACUGUAAAGAGUCUCUGAACAGUGAAAGAUCAAAACAGACAGUCUCUGGCUUUACUGGAUGAGUCACCAUUGCAGCCCGACCGCAAAAACAAGCGUGGCUUCUGUACUUAGCAGCAGUCUUCCUGUCUGGAAAGGAAACAUUGCUCAGAUUGGAGAUACUGGCCAUUUUAUAGACUUCAAAGCAACUUAGGCAACUGAACUGUCAGGCGGGAAAACAGGAUGUCUUCCAUUUGGAAGCCCCUUUGCUUCUAAGAAGUUCCAGAGACCAGCCCAGGCCCACAGAGUUAUAAGGAUUCAUCUGGGUACUGAAGACAUUUGGGACCUCAGUGAAGUUUCUCCGAGGCCAGAUGGUCACAUUGAUUUUCUGGAAUCAUUUUGAAUAAAAAUGAGCGAGGUGGUGAACGCAAUGCAAGGCUCUCCACGUACUGUCUGCCCCAAAUCUCCCACCUCCUGCAUGUGUGACCUGAGUAAGAGUCGGUGCAAGAAGACGUCGGUGUUCCCAUCUGUGAAAUGAAGGAAUUGACCCCCGAGGAUCUUCCAUUUCUGACAGUGCUUUGGAUUUCAUUGGUUUUGUCACAGGUACCCCCCAAAAGCCUCCAUCUUUGGAUAAGUGAUUAAAACUGCUGAGUAAUUUUCAAUCAAUAAAAGUUCAGUGCUGGCUCUCA
This 899-nucleotide small RNA is filed under the name Pan troglodytes (chimpanzee). RNAcentral's name for it is "processed transcript". Lineage: Eukaryota; Metazoa; Chordata; Mammalia; Primates; Hominidae. The record is from RNAcentral.